UGCACAAUGGGCGAAAGCCUGAUGCAGCGACGCCGCGUGAGGGAUGACGGCCUUCGGGUUGUAAACCUCUUUCGACAGGGACGAAGCGAAAGUGACGGUACCUGUAGAAGAAGCACCGGCCAACUACGUGCCAGCAGCCGCGGUAAUACGUAGGGUGCGAGCGUUGUCCGGAAUUACUGGGCGUAAAGAGCUUGUAGGCGGUCUGUCGCGUCUUCUGUGAAAACUUGGGGCUCAACCUUAAGCUUGCAGGCGAUACGGGCAGACUAGAGUACUUCAGGGGAGACUGGAAUUCCUGGUGUAGCGGUGAAAUGCGCAGAUAUCAGGAGGAACACCGGUGGCGAAGGCGGGUCUCUGGGAAGUAACUGACGCUGAGAAGCGAAAGCGUGGGUAGCGAACAGGAUUAGAUACCCUGGUAGUCCACGCCGUAAACGGUGGGUACUAGGUGUGGGUUUCCUUCCACGGGAUCCGUGCCGUAGCUAACGCAUUAAGUACCCCGCCUGGGGAGUACGGCCGCAAGGCUAAAACUCAAAGGAAUUGACGGGG
RNAcentral lists this ribosomal RNA (543 nucleotides) under Nocardia iowensis. Its description in RNAcentral is "bacterial SSU rRNA". It matches the Rfam family "Bacterial small subunit ribosomal RNA", at positions 365 to 918 of the family's 1533-position model. The record is from RNAcentral. Lineage: Bacteria; Bacillati; Actinomycetota; Actinomycetes; Mycobacteriales; Nocardiaceae.